This 700-nucleotide ribosomal RNA is filed under the name uncultured bacterium. RNAcentral's name for it is "bacterial SSU rRNA". It matches the Rfam family "Bacterial small subunit ribosomal RNA", at positions 87 to 805 of the family's 1533-position model. The record is from RNAcentral.
GUGACUGAGUGGCGGACGGGUGAGUAACGCGUGGAUAACCUGCCUCAUACAGGGGGAUAACAGUUAGAAAUGACUGCUAAUACCGCAUAAGCGCACAGUACCGCAUGGUACAGUGUGAAAAACUCCGGUGGUAUGAGAUGGAUCCGCGUCUGAUUAGCUAGUUGGCGGGGUAACGGCCCACCAAGGCGACGAUCAGUAGCCGACCUGAGAGGGUGACCGGCCACAUUGGGACUGAGACACGGCCCAAACUCCUACGGGAGGCAGCAGUGGGGAAUAUUGCACAAUGGGCGAAAGCCUGAUGCAGCGACGCCGCGUGAGUGAAGAAGUAUUUCGGUAUGUAAAGCUCUAUCAGCAGGGAAGAAAAUGACGGUGCCUGACUAAGAAGCCCCGGCUAACUACGUGCCAGCAGCCGCGGUAAUACGUAGGGGGCAAGCGUUAUCCGGAUUUACUGGGUGUAAAGGGAGCGUAGACGGUGAAGCAAGUCUGAAGUGAAAUACCCGGGCUCAACCUGGGAACUGCUUUGGAAACUGUUUUACUAGAGUGCUGGAGAGGCAAGCGGAAUUCCUAGUGUAGCGGUGAAAUGCGUAGAUAUUAGGAGGAACACCAGUGGCGAAGGCGGCUUGCUGGACAGUAACUGACGUUGAGGCUCGAAAGCGUGGGGAGCAAACAGGAUUAGAUACCCUGGUAGUCCACGCCGUAA